UACAGAGGUCUCAAGCGUUGUUCGGAUUCAUUGGGCGUAAAGGGCGCGUAGGCGGGCGAUCAAGUCAGGGGUGAAAGCCCCCAGCUCAACUGGGGAAGUGCCUCUGAUACUGGUCAUCUCGAGGGAGGUAGGGGCGUGCGGAACUUCCGGUGGAGCGGUGAAAUGCGUAGAUAUCGGAAGGAACAUCGGUGGCGAAAGCGGCGCGCUGGACCUCUUCUGACGCUGAGGCGCGAAAGCUAGGGGAGCAAACGGG
Molecule: ribosomal RNA, 253 nt
Filed under: uncultured bacterium
Lineage: Bacteria
Description: partial 16S ribosomal RNA
Rfam family: Bacterial small subunit ribosomal RNA
Source: RNAcentral